GGGAUAAUAAACUUGUGGAGUACGGGAAAUCACUGAAAGUAAGUUCAUGAACGGAACAUGACGCUGACCUUGGUCCUAUGAUUAGCAAGCAAGCCAAGGAGCGCAUAUGCAAUCUAAUCCAAUCUGGUGUUGAAAGUGGUGCCAGGCUAUUGCUGGAUGGGCGAGAUAUAGUGGUCCCAGGUUAUGAGCAUGGCAAUUUUAUUGGCCCUACUAUCUUAGCAAAUGUUACAGCUGACAUGGAGUGCUACAAGGUAUUUUUGACA
Molecule: long non-coding RNA, 263 nt
Organism: Rosa rugosa (rugosa rose)
Lineage: Eukaryota; Viridiplantae; Streptophyta; Magnoliopsida; Rosales; Rosaceae
Exons: 3
Source: RefSeq, a predicted model, not a curated record